Molecule: ribosomal RNA, 459 nt
Filed under: uncultured bacterium
Lineage: Bacteria
Description: partial 16S ribosomal RNA
Rfam family: Bacterial small subunit ribosomal RNA
Source: RNAcentral
CCUACGGGUGGCAGCAGUGAGGAAUAUUGGUCAAUGGGCGGGAGCCUGAACCAGCCAAGCCGCGUGAAGGAAGAAGGCGCCAGGCGUCGUCAACUUCUUUUGUCGGGGAACAAAGGGCGCCACGCGUGGCGUUGUGAGUGUACCCGAAGAUAAAGCAUCGGCUAACUCCGUGCCAGCAGCCGCGGUAAUACGGAGGAUGCGAGCGUUAUCCGGAUUUAUUGGGUUUAAAGGGUGCGUAGGCGGGCAUUUAAGCCGGCGGUCAAAUGUCGGGGCUCAACCCCGGCCUGCGGUCGGAACUGGGUGCCUUGAGUGGGCGAGAAGUAUGCAGAAUGCGUGGUGUAGCGGUGAAAUGCAUAGAUAUCACGCAGAACCCCGAUUGCGAAGGCAGCAUACCGGCGCCCUACUGACGCUGAGGCACGAAAGUGCGGGUAUCGAACAGGAUUAGAUACCCCAGUAGUC